This 2296-nucleotide ribosomal RNA is filed under the name human gut metagenome. Its description in RNAcentral is "bacterial LSU rRNA". It matches the Rfam family "Bacterial large subunit ribosomal RNA", at positions 266 to 2555 of the family's 2925-position model. The record is from RNAcentral.
AGCCCAAACCGGCUGGAUUCGUUCAGCCGGGGUUGUAGGGCCGGCAUAUGUGAUUCAUGAGUAGGCAGGGGAAAUGAGCUGGAAAGCUCUGCCAGAGCGGGUGACAGCCCCGUACCUGAAACCGAAAGCGACACAGCCGGUACCUGAGUACCGCGAGACACGUGGAACCUCGUGGGAAUCCGGGAGGACCAUCUUCCAAGGCUAAGUACUAACCGACGACCGAUAGUGUACCAGUACCGUGAGGGAAAGGUGAAAAGAACCUCUGUUAGAGGAGUGAAAUAGAAUCUGAAACCUGGUGCUUACAAGCUGUGAGAGCGGACUUGUUCCGUGAUCACGUGCCUUUUGCAUAAUGAGUCAGCGAGUUAAUCUGUACUGCAAGGUUAAGCGCAAGUGGAGCCGUAGGGAAACCGAGUCUGACAAGGGCGAUGAGUAGUGCGGAUUAGACCCGAAACCGGGUGAUCUAUCCAUGAGCAGGUUGAAGCAAGGGUAAAACCUUGUGGAGGACCGAACCAAUACCGGCUGAAAACGGUUUGGAUGACUUGUGGAUAGGGGUGAAAGGCCAAUCAAACCCGGUGAUAGCUGGUUCUCCCCGAAAUAUAUUGAGGUAUAGCCUCAUGGAUUGUCUACCGGAGGUAAAGCACUGACAGGGCUAGGGGUCCUACCAGAUUACCAAACCCUAUCAAACUCAGAAUGCCGGUCAGAUGUACCAUGGGAGUCAGACGGCGGGUGCUAAGGUCCGUCGUCGAGAGGGUAAGAGCCCAGAUCAACAGCUAAGGUCUCCAAAUCUAUGCUCAGUGGUUAAGGUGGUGACGUUGUAGAGACACCCAGGACGUUGGCUUAGAAGCAGCCAUCGUUUAAAGAAAGCGUAAUAGCUCACUGGUCUAAUGACGUUGCGCCGAAAAUGUAACGGGGCUAAGCAUAGUACCGAAGCUUUGAAUUCCGCAUAUGCGGUCUGGUAGGGGAGCGUUCUUCACGGGCUGAAGGUGUGUCGUAAGGCAUGCUGGACUGUGGAGAAGUGAUUAUGCUGACAUGAGUAACGAUAAAACGGGUGAAAAACCCGUUCGCCGUAAACCCAAGGUUUUCCGGGUAAAGGUAAUCUUCCCGGAGUUAGUCGGCCCCUAAGGCGAGGCUGAAAGGCGUAGCUGAUGGGAAACGUGUUAAUAUUCACGUACUUGUGUGUUCGCGCGAUGAAGGGACGCAGGAAGAUAGGCAAGCCGGGCGCUGGUUGUCCCGGUGCAAGCGUGUAGGGAUGAGAAGUUGGCAAAUCCGCUUCUCUCUAUCCUGAGACGCGAGUCCGUGACCGAAAGGUCUGAAGUUGUUGAGUCUAUGCUGCCUAGAAAAGCUUCUAAGUAUAGGACACGCAAACCGUACCGGAAACCAACUCAGGUGGGUGGGAUGAAUAAUCCAAGGCGCUCGAGAGAACUCUGGCCAAGGAACUCGGCAAAAUAACCCCGUACCUUCGGAAGAAGGGGUGCUUUUUAGGGUGAAGCGAUUCACUCUGUCGAGCCCUGAAAAGCCGCAGAGAAAUGGUGGUGGCGACUGUUUACUAAAAACAUAGGUCUGUGCCAAGUCGUAUAGACGACGUAUACGGACUGACGCCUGCCCGGUGCUGGAAGGUUAAAAGGAGGAGUCAGCGCAAGCGAAGCUCCGAAUUGAAGCCCCAGUAAACGGCGGCCGUAACUAUAACGGUCCUAAGGUAGCGAAAUUCCUUGUCGGGUAAGUUCCGACCUGCACGAAUGGCGUAACGAUCUCCACACUGUCUCGGCCAGAGACUCGGUGAAAUUGAAGUCGCGGUGAAAAUGCCGUGUACCCGCAGAAAGACGGAAAGACCCUGUGCACCUUUACUAUAGCUUGACAUUGGGAUUUGAGCCUGCAUGUGUAGCAUAGGUGGGAGGCUGUGAACUCUGUACGCCAGUAUGGAGGGAGCCAUCGUUGAAAUACCACCCUUGUUUGUUCAGGUCCCUAACUCUUCGCCGUGAUCCGGUAGGAGGACAGUGUCUGGUGGGUAGUUUGACUGGGGCGGUCGCCUCCCAAAAUGUAACGGAGGCAUGCAAAGGUUCCCUCAGGCUGAUUGGAAACCAGCCGUCGAGUGCAAACGCAAAAGGGAGCUUGACUGCAAGAGAGACAUCUCGAGCAGGUACGAAAGUAGGUGUUAGUGAUCCGGUGAUCCCGAAUGGAAGGGUCAUCGCUCAUUGGAUAAAAGGUACGCCGGGGAUAACAGGCUGAUCGCAUCCAAGAGUUCACAUCGACGAUGCGGUUUGGCACCUCGAUGUCGGCUCAUCACAUCCUGGGGCUG